AGGCAACAGUUCCAGAAAUCCCCAAGCCUGAAUUGCCUAAGGUUGAAUUGCCACCGUUACCAAAACCUGAAAUACCACAAAUUCCAAAGCCUGAAUUACCUGAGAUUCCAAAGCCUGAGCUUCCUAAAAAACCUCAAUUACCAGAGAUUCCAAAGCCAGAACUACCGAAGAAACCUGAAUUACCUGAGAUUCCAAAGCCUGAGUUGCCAAAAGAACCAGAAUUGCCAGAGAUUCCGAAAGCUGAGGUGCCAAAAGAGCCUGAAGUACCUGAACUUCCGAAGCCUGAGUUGCCCAAAGUGCCUGAGGUGCCAAAAGAGCCCGAAGUACCUGAACAUCCGAAGCCUGAGUUGCCCAAAGUGCCUGAGGUGCCAAAGGAGCCCGAAGUACCUGAACUUCCAAAGCCUGAGUUGCCCAAAGUGCCUCAGGUGCCAAAAGAGCCCGAAGUACCUGAACAUCCGAAGCCUGAGUUGCCCAAAGUGCCUGAGGUGCCAAAGGAGCCCGAAGUACCUGAACUUCCAAAGCCUGAGUUGUCCAAAGUGCCUGAGGUGCCAAAGGAGCCCGAAGUACCUGAACUUCCAAAGCCUGAGUUGCCCAAAGUGCCUGAGGUGCCAAAAGAGCCCGAAGUACCUGAACAUCCGAAGCCUGAGUUGCCCAAAGUGCCUGAGGUGCCAAAGGAGCCCGAAGUACCUGAACUUCCAAAGCUUGAGUUGCCCAAAGUGCCUGAGGUGCCAAAAGAGCCCGAAGUACCUGAACAUCCGAAGCCUGAGUUGCCCAAAGUGGCUGAGGUGCCAAAGGAGCCCGAAGUACCUGAACUUCCAAAGCCUGAGUUGCCCAAAGUGCCUGAGGUGCCAAAAGAGCCCGAAGUACCUGAACUUCCAAAGCCUGAGUUGCCCAAGGCGCCUGAAUUGCCUUCUUUCCCCCAUCUACCUGAGCUUCCUAAGCCGACAUUUCCCCCCAUCCCGAGUCUUCCCAAGGAGAUGCCAACUCACUCAACCACCAAUCCUUAAAUUCCAUUUUCUUCAAAUGCUUUCCCGAGCUUCAUCUGGUUCUCUGCAGAUGUAUAUCAAUAAAUUAUAUUUGUUGUUUCUUGUUUUGAGACUUUCCAAAUUUGUGUGUUUUCCCUUUUGAGGAUUCUUUUUGUUAUUGUUUUUAAAUCUGGGAUACGACUCGUGAUGAGUUCGGCUACGCAGGACUACUGUUGUAUUCAUUUCUACAUAAUAAAUUGAGUGAUAUAUAUUGUAUUUUUAUGUUUAGCAGUCUGAUUUGAGGUUUCUGAUUUUAUAUGUGCUCUAUCACGUAAUUGCAUUUUAUCUUCAUUUUGACGUCAGUCGAAAAUGUAUAGGAAAUUUAAAAUAAUGAUGAUUGCUGUGUCACAUCGAUUAAAUUGGUAUUUAAUUUUUUGUGAUUUUAAAAUAUACAGAAAAAUAAAUUAAAGAGACAACUUUUUGUUUUGUGUUUCAGCAUUCGAAGCUAGAAAGACCUAAACGAACUUCAGCACCGCAGCGACAGUGAUAUUUUAGAAAAAUAAACUAGGACGACCCUUUAUCUGAUCAUCAAGGGGAGAAAAAUCAGAUUUAUUUGUUCCCUUUGACCACACAGUCGGUUAUGAUUUUGUCGAACAGCAAACCGUGAAGAGCUACGUGCCCAAAAUAGGAAUGUUUACGUGACUUUUAGACUAGAGCUGUCACUAAUGUUUAAUAUGAAACUAAUCCAUCCUGAACUAGAUUUACAACUUUUGUAAAUGUUUUUUUGCAGAAUAAAUAUUCUCACUUGAGACGAAAUAUCCCCAUUACACAAGGUCCAUAAAAAAAAUGAUUAAUUUGCAGAGAGAGUUACAAAAAAAAUGAUUAAAUUAUAGAGAGAGCUUACAUUAAAACCAGAUAAGGACAGAAGUUAGUAACUCAAUUGAUCAAUUCUAACAAGGAACAAGAAACAAGGAGCAAAAGUGAAUUAUAUAAAACUAGCUAGUAUUAAUAUUCAAAAACAAAGUAAUAAAAUGAAAUGAAUUAUUUUAGGCUCAAGUUCUAGCACUUGACACGUGAUAUUUUUUGGUCUGAUUUUUUUGAAGUACACACAUGUGCAUUUGAUUAUCCUGAUUUGAGCUUUUUGUUGGGAAAAAUCGGGUGGGUGAAGUAGACACGCAAUUUAAAUGAAAUAAAAAAAUAAUGAUCAUACAGGGACACCAGAAUUUAUGUGGUUUGACUUUUAGCAUACGUCCAUAUGUUGUCAGAUAUGCUAGAGUGCAUUUACUUAUGCUGUCAGAUAUGCUAAACUUUAAUCUAUGCUGCUUACUUGUAGCACAGUGCUCGCAAAAUGAUAAGUUCACCUAUUUAAGCCCUGGAAGCAACUUUUUCCCAGAGAGAAUCUUCAAACCUUGUUUCCACAUGUGGCCAAGUUUGAGAUGCACAUCAUUGUCGAUUCUUCUCUAUUUGACGCAACACAAGCAGUAGCUUCUUGCAAUGUUUCCCCUUUAAGCAUGAAUAAAUUGGCACAUAUAUUUUCUGCCUUCAUCAAUACAAGCGUACUUCUGACAAUCUUCAUGAUCCCAUUUUCCACCUGAGUUUUAUAGUCAAGACUAUCUAUUUGUCCUAAAGACAAUAGAUUUUUUUUCAUACAUUUGACAUGCAGUACCUCCUAAAUAGUGCAAAUAUACCAUCAAAUAUUUUUAUUUUGAUAGAACCAACACUAGCAAUCUCCAAGGUAUGAUUAUCACCCAUAUAUACCGAUUCUCCUAAGAUAGGUUCAUAUUUGUGGGAUUAUUCUCUCUAAGAGGUCCUGUGCCAGUAGCUCUUGAGUCUAUAAACCAGACGUCAGAUAGUUUUUUUCUGCCUUCUGCAACCAUAACUGCCUCGUUGUAUAAAACGUCAUCAUCAUAUGAGGUACUUACUACACACCCCUAAGUAUUUGAUGACUUAGGAUCUUUACCCUCUCCUUUCUACUGGUAACUCCAACACUCUUUCUUGACAUGCCAUAUUUUUCCACAUUUGUAGCAUCUGAUUUUCUUCUUACUUCUUAAAUUUGAUCUACCAUGAUUGUGACUCCUACUAGGACUACGUUUCACUGACCUCCCUCUCAUCAUCAUGCGCUUCCACUUGCAGCGAACUUGCUUAACUGUCUUCCUAGUUUUUGCGCCUACUCUCUUAUUCUAAUACAGAGGCUGUAACAUCAUCGAAGACUAAGUACUCCAUAAGGAUAUUGUUCAUCAAGUUGAUGAUGAGUUGAUCAUAUGAGUCAGGUAAACUUUAAAGUAGAAGCUCUGCACGUUCAAUUUCUUCUAUUUUAUACCCAACGUCGUAAGUUGUGAAAAUAGAGUUUUAAGAGUGUUGAUAUGGUCGCUCAUCGUUAUGGUUUCCGCAAUUCGAAAAGUAUAGAGUCUCCUCUUCAAAAAGAUAUUAUUGUGUAGUGACUUGGCCUCAUACAGUUUUGUGAGAGUAUCCCAAAUACCUUUCAUUGUCUUUUCCUCCGCCACACUAGAUAACACCCCAUCUGAGUGCCAGGUGUAGAUCAACAAUUGCAUUGCUGUCACUUCAUUCCACUUGUCACCAGUGAUUUUUGCAGGCCUUUCCCCAAUUAUUUUUAAGCAAUUAUUUUUCCUCAAGACUAGGUACUCCGUAAGGAUAUUGUUCGUCAAGUUGAUUAUAUAAGUCAGGUAAACUUUGAAGUAGAAGCUCUGCACAUUUAAUUUCCUCUACUUUAUGCCAAACAUCAUAAGUUGUGAAAAUAAAGUUUUAAGAGUGUUGGUAUGGUCGAUCACCGUUGUGGUUUCCCCCAUUCGAAGAGUAUAGAGUCUCCUCUUCAAGAAGAUUUUGUUGUGUAGUGACUUGAUCUCGUAUAGUUCUGUGAGAGUAUCCCAAAUACCUUUCACUGUCUUUUCCUCUGCCACACUAGAUAACACCCCAUCUGAGUGCCAGGUGUAGAUCAACAAUUACAUUAUUGUCCAUUCAUUCCACUUGUUACCAGUGAUUUUUGCAGGUCUUUCCCCAAUCACUUUUAAGCAAUUAUUUUUCCUCAAGAUUGCCCGCAUCCUCAUUUUCCAUAACGAGAAAUUGCUCCCGUUGAACUUCUUAAUUUCAAACGUUGCUGUCAUUUUGUUAAUACCGCACACAAGUUAGUGUACCUCCUUGAAUAGUUAUGAGUGAUCACACGUGUGAAUAUGCACACUACGAAAGUUCCUAAGAAAGACUGGAGGGGUCACAAUGAUCCCACUUAAAAUCCAAACUUCUUAAACUCUUAUUGCCUUUAUGACAGAAUUUUCCUAGAUAUGUACAAGACCACACAAUUACUUUCACUCACAUCACUAUUCCCUACUUUGUACCGCAGAAUUCUUGGAUCGCUCCCAUCGUUUCAUGUGAAUAAUGCCGUAUACGUGAAUAGUAUUGUAUAUGUGAAUAGUAUCGUAUACGUGAACAAUACCCGACUCCAAAGAUUUGCAACCAAUGGCUCUGAUACCACUUGUUGGGAAAAUUCAGCGGGUGAGUAGACAUACAACUAAAGUGAAAUUGAAAAAUAAUUAUCAUACAACAACACCAGAAUUUACAUAGUUCAGUUUUUAGCCUACGUCCACAUGCGAAGACAGAAGGAAAUAUUUUGCUAGUAAAAAUGAGUUACAAGUAUUAUAGUAUUUUUGUCUCACAACCCAAAACUCCAGUACACUAAAACUCUGAAAAACACUAGAACUAGAGUACAAAGCUCUCAACACUCUCAACUUACACCUCUUGGCACUCUCACUCUCACCAGAGAAAAUGAGAUGAUUCAAGAGGGCAAAUGAAGCCUUUAUUUAUAGGCCAGGUAAUGUCUAAAAAUCAAGGAUGGUGGGCAUUAAAAUAAUAUAAAUUUUCUCUGAACCUUCUACUUUGGUGCCAGAGUCAAAAGCUAUAUUACUCUCACUUACUCAUGUCUCCCACUUACUCAAUAAUUUUAUGACGAGAGUCAAAAGUUGCAUGCUAACCACAUGCAAUUGUUUGCCACAUGCAUACAUAUGUUCAACACUUUUACCUGAGUAAAUAUAAAUUGGUAAUUGACUUUUACAUAAUUCGUUAAGAUUAUUGGCGAAAAGAUGGUGCCCCAAGUACUACAUAUCAAAAUUGUGGCCAACAAACAGGAGAUCUUACAUAAAAUAUGAUCAAAUGACACGACGUUGAUUCGUACGUAAAUAUGCUUUUGACUUGUUCAUGAUUAAUAUUGAUAAGACACAUUUGACCAACCACGACAACGUUUGAAAAUAACCAAUGCAUAAUGGAUAACAUGUGCUUCCAACCACAACAAAUAGUUAAUCUGGCUUAAAAUCUCAAUCAUAGAGCGUUCAAUCUUCUUUCUUGUAGCAUUCAAAUACAAGGAGAAGACAAUCUGAUAAAUUAAUUGAAGAGGAAAAAUGGGAAUAAGAGAAACGGCAUGUCGCUGUUAACAUCCAUUAGGAAAUGAAAUUCAAUUACGUAUUAGUGUGUUUUCGAGAAGGGAAGCUUAUGUCAUUAGGUGUUUUAUGACAUAUAUGACCACAAAGUUAUAAAAUAAUGUUAAUUUUUUUUUAUUAUUAACUCAGGCAUACAUUAAAAUUCGAACUCAAGGUUUGAGCCUUAGAAAGGCCGUUCCUUACCAUAGGAACUGGCUUCAAUAAUCUUAAAUAAUUUGCAGAAAAGUAUUGAAUAAAAUAAUCAUUCAGAGGUUAUUAUUUUAACCAUUUACCUUCUUUUUUUUCACAGGGGAUAUAUGAAAAGAUAAUGAAUAAUCCCUUAAUAUAACAAUUAAUUGCAAUAUAAUUGCUUAUAUAACAUAUUAUACAAUGAUAUAUAAUCGUUAUGACGUACGUGGAAUUAGCAGAAGUGAGAGGUUGAUGAACUAACAAGACAUAAAUUUCUUACCAAGUACCAACCCAAGCUUAAUUUAUUUAUAUUUUACUAUUUUAGUCAUACCUACCCAAUCUUGAAACCCUCUAUUCUACGCUUCGCCACACCUAUAAAAGCCUCAUAACACAUGAAAUCAAUGCAUAAACACAUUUGAUCCCUUCUCUUUUGAUUGUUAUUACCGCAACACAAUAUAUGUUUCAUCUCUUAUAGCUUUAUUCGGCAAUAGUUCAACCAUGGCAUCCUUCUCUUUCUCAUCCGUUAUGCUACCACUUUUGCUAAUCGCUUUAUCGUCAAUGAGCUUUAACAUUGAUUUGAUCGCUGCUCGCCAUCUUCUAGAGGCAACAGUUCCAGAAAUACCCAAGCCUGAAUUGCCUAAGGUUGAAUUGCCACCGUUACCAAAACCUGAACUACCACAAAUUCCAAAGCCUGAAUUACCUGAGAUUCCAAAGCCUGAGCUACCUAGAAAACCUGAAUUACCAGAGAUUCCAAAGCCUGAGUUGCCAAAAGAACCUGAAUUGCCAGAGAUUCCGAAACCUGAGGUGCCAAAAGAGCCUGAAGUACCUGAACUUCCAAAGCCUGAGUUGCCCAAAGUGCCUGAGGUGCCAAAAGAGCCCGAAGUACCUGAACAUCCGAAGCCUGAGUUGCCCAAAGUGCCUGAGGUGCCAAAAGAGCCUGAAGUACCUGAACAUCCGAAGCCUGAGUUGCCCAAAGUGCCUGAGGUGCCAAAAGAGCCCGAAGUACCUGAACAUCCGAAGCCUGAGUUGCCCAAAGUGCCUGAGCUGCCAAAGGAGCCCGAAGUACCUGAACUUCCAAAGCCUGAGUUGCCCAAAGUGCCUGAGGUGCCGAAAGAGCCCGAAUUGCCUUCUCUGCCUCAUCUACCUGAGCUUCCUAAGCCCACAUUUCCCGCCAUCCCGAGUCUUCCCAAGGAGAUCCCAACUCACUCGACCACCAAUCCUUAAAUUUCAUCUUCUCCAAAUGCUUUCUCGAGCUUCAUCUGGAUGUAUACUAAUAAAUUAUAUUUGUUGGUUCUUGUUUUGAGACUUUCCAAAUUUGUGUGUUUUCACUCUUGAGGAGUUUUUUGUUAUUGUUUUUAAGUCUGGGAUACGACUCGCGAUGAGCUCCGCUCCACAGGAGUACUGUUGUAUUCAUUUUUACAUAAUCUAUUGAGUGAUAUUUAUUGUACUUUUAGGUUUAGCAGUCUGAUUUGAGGUUUCUGAUUUUAUGUGCUCUAUGACAUAUAUUACAUUUUAUCUUCAUUUUGACUUUAGUCGAAAACGUAUAGCAAAAUAAAAGAGACA
RNAcentral lists this long non-coding RNA (7141 nucleotides) under Citrus maxima (pomelo). Its description in RNAcentral is "long non-coding RNA (CMAX_LNC000250)". The record is from RNAcentral. Lineage: Eukaryota; Viridiplantae; Streptophyta; Magnoliopsida; Sapindales; Rutaceae.